UACGGGAGGCAGCAGUGGGGAAUAUUGCACAAUGGGCGCAAGCCUGAUGCAGCCAUGCCGCGUGUAUGAAAAAGGCCUUCGGGUUGUAAAGUACUUUCAGUCGUGAGGAAGGUGUUAAGGUUAAUAACCUUAGCAAUUGACGUUAGCGACAGAAGAAGCACCGGCUAACUCCGUGCCAGCAGCCGCGGUAAUACGGAGGGUGCGAGCGUUAAUCGGAAUUACUGGGCGUAAAGGGCACGCAGGCGGUUAAUUAAGUUGGAUGUGAAAUCCCCGGGCUUAACCUGGGAAUGGCAUUCAAGACUGGUUAGCUAGAGUCUUGUAGAGGGGGUAGAAUUCCGAUGUGUAGCGGUGAAAUGCGUAGAGAUGUGGAGGAAUACCGGUGGCGAAGGCGGCCCCUGGGACAAAGACUGACGCUCAUGUGCGAAAGCGUGGGGAGCAAACAGGGAUUAGAUACC
RNAcentral lists this ribosomal RNA (455 nucleotides) under uncultured bacterium. Its description in RNAcentral is "bacterial SSU rRNA". It matches the Rfam family "Bacterial small subunit ribosomal RNA", at positions 340 to 786 of the family's 1533-position model. The record is from RNAcentral.